GAGUAUCAUCAUCCACAAAAUCAUGCAAAGCGUUAUCACACUGUGGUACAAUACACAUUACAUAUCGAACAGCCCUGGUAUUUAUAUUUUAAUCCAUGUUAUAAAAGGAAGUCGGCCAUUAUGAAGAUGCAGAGUACCUCCUUAAUUAACACACCUUCAUAGAUCAUUCAGAUUACCAGGGUUGUUAGGACAAUAUACUCGAUGUUCAUCCGACUAAUAAAACCCUAGUUACAUGGGACAUCAUUUAAAUAAUCAUUAUGUCACAGGGUGGCAAUCACGUAUUUUAAUUAUCAAAUGUUAUAAGCAUUUUAUUCAUUUCAGAUUGUUCAAUACACUUUUAUUCAUUCACCCGUUUACUAAUCCAUUCAUGCAUUGUCGUAUUUGUGUUGUGUUCUCUCGUCUACGGUGAGUCAUGCGACUGUUUUGUGAAUAGUGUUUUGCUGAGUUAAGUAUUUGUAGAGUGAGUGAGUAUUUUAUUAGUGGUUGCAGAACAAGUUUUUAGGGAGUGUUAGUAGUGUACGCAUGUGUGUGAGAUUGUAUAAAAGGAUGAGCACUAACUAAUCUAGAGAUUUACAAGAUGGACUUUAACGCAGUACGUCAGGAUGAAUCUCGCACCGAGAUACCCUAUAGAUAUAUAUUCCUUUACGGGAAAUAAAGAUAUAUAACUGGUCAUCAUAUUUACAAUUGGAGUCAUCAUACAAGUUGGCUUAAAAUAAAAUCAAUUGAAACCUGCA
This is a long non-coding RNA of Ostrea edulis (European flat oyster), 734 nucleotides long. RefSeq lists it as uncharacterized. The record is from RefSeq and is a predicted model, not a curated record. Lineage: Eukaryota; Metazoa; Mollusca; Bivalvia; Ostreida; Ostreidae. The transcript is spliced from 2 exons.